RNAcentral lists this transfer RNA (87 nucleotides) under Candidatus Nomurabacteria bacterium RIFOXYB1_FULL_36_10. RNAcentral describes it as "tRNA-Leu". It matches the Rfam family "tRNA". From Rfam's summary of the family: Transfer RNA (tRNA) molecules are approximately 80 nucleotides in length. Their secondary structure includes four short double-helical elements and three loops (D, anti-codon, and T loops). Further hydrogen bonds mediate the characteristic L-shaped molecular structure. tRNAs have two regions of fundamental functional importance: the anti-codon, which is responsible for specific mRNA codon recognition, and the 3' end, to which the tRNAs corresponding amino acid is attached (by aminoacyl-tRNA synthetases). tRNAs cope with the degeneracy of the genetic code in two manners: having more than one tRNA (with a specific anti-codon) for a particular amino acid; and 'wobble' base-pairing, i.e. permitting non-standard base-pairing at the 3rd anti-codon position. Lineage: Bacteria; Candidatus Nomuraibacteriota. The record is from RNAcentral. RNAcentral also lists the same sequence under 3 other names.
GCACGGGUGGCGAAACUGGUAGACGCACUACCUUGAGGUGGUAGCGCCCGCAAGGGCAUGGAAGUUCAAAUCUUCUCUCGUGCACAA